This 508-nucleotide ribosomal RNA is filed under the name Mitrella alofa. RNAcentral's name for it is "partial large subunit ribosomal RNA". It matches the Rfam family "Bacterial large subunit ribosomal RNA", at positions 1817 to 2600 of the family's 2925-position model. The record is from RNAcentral. Lineage: Eukaryota; Metazoa; Mollusca; Gastropoda; Neogastropoda; Columbellidae.
GGCUCUUUGAGGAGAAAAAUGAUAAAGAGUCGGACCUGCCCAGUGAAAUUUUUCAACGGCCGCGGUACUCUGACCGUGCAAAGGUAGCAUAAUCAUUUGCCUUAUAAUUGAAGGCUUGUAUGAAUGGUUUGACAAGAAUAUAGCUGUCUCUAUAUGAUUUAAUAGAAUUUUAUUUUAAAGUGAAGAAGCUUUAAUGUUAUUAAAAGACAAGAAGACCCUAUCGAGCUUGAAAAAAAAUUGUAGAGGUAUUUAAUAAAUUUAAAAAGUUGUCUAUAUAAGAUUUUGGUUGGGGCGACUUAGGAACAUAAAAAGCUUCCUAAACUAUAUUAUUAGCGAAUAUGAUCCAAAAUAUUUUGAUUAAUGAAAUUAGUUACCGUAGGGAUAACAGCAUAAUCUUCUUUGAGAGUUCUAAUCGAAAAGAAGGUUUGUGACCUCGAUGUUGGACCAGAAUUUCCUGAAGAUGCAGCAGUCUUUAAGGGUUGGUCUGUUCGACCAUUAAAAUUCUACG